This 393-nucleotide ribosomal RNA is filed under the name uncultured bacterium. RNAcentral's name for it is "bacterial SSU rRNA". It matches the Rfam family "Bacterial small subunit ribosomal RNA", at positions 505 to 898 of the family's 1533-position model. The record is from RNAcentral.
GUGUCAGCCGCCGCGGUAAUACGUAGGUGGCAAGCGUUGUCCGGAUUUACUGGGCGUAAAGGGAGCGUAGGUGGAUGUUUAAGUGGGAUGUGAAAUACCCGGGCUCAACUUGGGUGCUGCAUUCCAAACUGGAUAUCUAGAGUGCAGGAGAGGAAAGUGGAAUUCCUAGUGUAGCGGUGAAAUGCGUAGAGAUUAGGAAGAACACCAGUGGCGAAGGCGACUUUCUGGACUGUAACUGACACUGAGGCUCGAAAGCGUGGGGAGCAAACAGGAUUAGAUACCCUGGUAGUCCACGCCGUAAACGAUGGAUACUAGGUGUGGGGGUUUCAACACCUCCGUGCCGCCGUUAACACAAUAAGUAUCCCGCCUGGGGAGUACGGUCGCAAGAUUAAA